GCGGCGGGCGCAGCCAAUGGGAGCGCGGCUUCCAUGGGGCCUGAGUUAUUAGACGGCGGGGUAAAAGCACCGCGCGGCAGAAGCCAAGGAGAGGCCGCGGGACCCGCAGCCAUUUUUCUGCAGUGGAGCGAAAUGGCCAACUGGGCUUUUCCUUUGUUCCAUAAAGGGGGAUCCGCCAUGUGAAUCCACACCACGCGGGGUGGUGGGAGCCUCUAGCACGGUGCCAGACGACUCACUGAAGAAGGAGGAUUUAAAUAUAUAUAUAUCUCAAACCCUUAACCAAAAAAAAAAAAGUAAUGCGGAUUUUUUUUUUUUCUCCCUUAUGAUUCGGGAUCCAUCUUUGUCUUGUGUAACUAGGUCAUGGCACACCCUAUGUCAGCAGUUAACAAUUUCGAAUGCCAACAAAAAAAGAGUAAAUACAUUCUUUUUAUAUUUUUUUCGUUGUUUUGGGGGUUUUUAAGCUUUAAGCAGCUCUGAUGACUGAACAAUAAAUUUGAGAGACUUCUCUCCUGUACUAAACACUUGAUUCCUGGCCAUUUUUAUUAACUCCUUUGGUGCUUAAAAGGUAAUGUUUUAAAUAUAGGUAUAGGAAUAGUGAAUUCUGGCAAAAAAUAAGGCAAUUUUACUAUGAUAAGCUUUUUCUCUUUCUUUCCUCUUAUAUUGUAAGUACCCAAUCCAUUCUGUCCUUACUAAGUGUAGUUUUCAUGUUAAUGUUACUGAAGUGGUCCUUAUUGCUAAGCCUUCAUUUGCAUGUCUUACGUUUUUGUCUGUUUAAACCAAUUUAUGCUUUUUUAAAAUAUUUUACUUAUAAAGCAAACUAUCUGGCUAAGAUAUGCUUAAAAGUUGUUUAGAACCAAUAAUGUUAAUUAGGUGUUUUCACAUUGACAUGUGCAGCCUAAAACUAUUGAGGAGAAUAUUUUUAGUGUCUGCGUGCUCUGUGGAAAAACACUGAACGUCCUUUUUAUGUACAGAGUAAAUCUGCCACAGGAAGGUAGAUUUACUCAAGCAGGAGUCCUCGCCUGUGUACGGUCAGUCAACAUAGCUGGACUUUUAUAUAUAUAUAUUUUUUCCCCCUUUUUUUUUCCUCUUAUUUUGAUGCUAGACCACUGCCAUACAAAGAUCCAUAACUUAUCUUAACAAGAUCCGCUUUGGCUCGCAAACUUACGAGAGAAGUGGUGAUACAGAUCAUAUAUAUAUUUAUAGCCAUUAUUUUAAAAAAGAGUAACAACUUCACCUUCAGAGCUGCAUUCAACUAUGGUGUGCGGGGAGGGAUUUGAUUUCUCUUUCUGCACAAAGCUCUUGGUCGUCCUCAACCCUGGGUGGGUUUAGUUUGGUUUUUUUUUUUGUACGGAGAGACGCUGUGAAUCCAUUGCAGGCAUUACGUGGCUGUUAUUUUGUAAGCACCAAAAAAAAUAAAAAA
This is a long non-coding RNA of Parus major (Great Tit), 1420 nucleotides long. RefSeq lists it as uncharacterized. The transcript has 2 exons. The record is from RefSeq and is a predicted model, not a curated record. NCBI's taxonomy places the organism in Eukaryota, Metazoa, Chordata, Aves, Passeriformes, Paridae.